Long non-coding RNA from Phalaenopsis equestris, 466 nucleotides. RefSeq lists it as uncharacterized. The transcript has 4 exons. The record is from RefSeq and is a predicted model, not a curated record. Lineage: Eukaryota; Viridiplantae; Streptophyta; Magnoliopsida; Asparagales; Orchidaceae.
GAGAAAUUCUAUAGUGGUAGUAACAUGACCAUAGUGAAAUCUAUAGUGGUAGUAACAUGACAUGACCAUAAUUUUGGUGAACUUAUAUAAAAUUCUUGGUGUGUUUACUUCUGUUUUAUUUGCUCAUUAUUUCUUAAAAAUGCGAACGACAUCCUUUCAGUUUCGAACUCAUUUUGUUAUUUUGUUUGUAGUAUGAGGGAGCAGUAAAUGAGGAUGGAAGAGGGCCGACAGUUUGGGAUAAGUUUGCCCAUUCAUUUGGUAAGAUCAUAGAUUUCAGCAAUGCUGAUGUUGCUGUUGAUCAGUAUCACAGAUAUGAGGAGGAUGUGCAACUCAUGGCUGAUAUUGGAAUGGAUGCUUACAGGUUUUCAAUUGCUUGGUCCCGUAUUUUUCCAAAUGGAACUGGCGAUGUUAAUCAAGCAGGGAUUGACCAUUACAACAAAUUGAUAAAUGCACUGCUAGCUAAAGG